UUUUCGAGAACAACAAGGAAAACUUUGGAGACCUCGAGGGCUCGGAACUUCUGGUACUUUGGUCAGUCGAAGUCGCGCAGCCAUAGGGGUUGAACUUGAGCGUAGAGGAUAAUCAAUCGGAAGUAUAUUUUAUCGGAAAUAUAUUCAUCUCGGGACCGCGAGUGAUAGUCGUGUGAUUCAAGUGCAUUACCAUCAGUGUAGUUUCGUGUUCCGUACUUUAUUAUUAAAAUUUUUCUCAGUGAAUUAUUCCGUGAAUUUAGAAGGUGCAGUGAAUAGUUGAACAAGUUUCCUGGCCGGUACUUUAGUUUCGUGUUCGGUACUUUAUUUUCGUGUUCGGUACUUUAUUAUUAAAAUUAUUCUCUGUGAACUAUUUCGUAAAUAUAGAAGGUGCAGUAAAUAGUUGAAAAACCUUACUAUCCGAAAGUUUUCUAUCCACCGAAAGUUUUAGUCUGCAAGCCUCUACUUUUUCCGUCCAGUGCGAUAGUUUGCCGUGUUUUACAAUAAGUGGAAGUAGUGUUUGUCACUCGUGUCGGUUGUCAUCGUGCGAAUUUUCGGUAGUGUCUUUUCAGUGAUAUUUCUGUGAAAUUUGAUUUGAGGAUAUAGUUUCGGAAGUCGAUUUGCUCACGUGUAUUCCUCAGCGUUGAUUCGCCAACAUUUGAGAAGGCGAUGACCGAGGAUGGAAAUCUUCACCCUACGCAUCAGAGCUGUUCCUGACCUUGCAGAUCAUCGCUUCUUCACGG
Molecule: non-coding RNA, 740 nt
Organism: Bemisia tabaci
Lineage: Eukaryota; Metazoa; Arthropoda; Insecta; Hemiptera; Aleyrodidae
Source: RefSeq, a predicted model, not a curated record